This 372-nucleotide unclassified non-coding RNA is filed under the name uncultured Flavobacteriaceae bacterium. Its description in RNAcentral is "contains 16S-23S intergenic spacer region". Lineage: Bacteria; Pseudomonadati; Bacteroidota; Flavobacteriia; Flavobacteriales; Flavobacteriaceae. The record is from RNAcentral.
UCACGGUUUGCACCGGCAGUCUUGUUAGAGUUCCCGGCUUGACCCGCUGGCAACUAACAAUAAGGGUUGCGCUCGGUAUAGGACUUAACCUGACACCUCACGGCACGAGCUGACGACAACCAUGCAGCACCUUGUAAAUUGCUCGAAGGAAAGUCUAUCUCUAAACCUGUCAAUCUACAUUUAAGCCUUGGUAAGGUUCCUCGCGUAUCAUCGAAUUAAACCACAUGCUCCACCGCUUGUGCGGGCCCCCGUCAAUUCCUUUGAGUUUCAUUCUUGCGAACGUACUCCCCAGGUGGGAUACUUAUCACUUUCGCUUAGCCACUCAAUCCGAAGACCGAACAGCUAGUAUCCAUCGUUUACGGCGUGGACUAC